AACGAACGCUGGCGGCAGGCUUAACACAUGCAAGUCGAACGCCCCGCAAGGGGAGUGGCAGACGGGUGAGUAACGCGUGGGAAUCUACCCAGAACUUCGGAACAACUGAGGGAAACUUCAGCUAAUACCGGAUACGCCCUACGGGGGAAAGAUUUAUCGGUUCUGGAUGAGCCCGCGUUGGAUUAGCUAGUUGGUGAGGUAAAGGCUCACCAAGGCUUCGACGGGUAGCUGGUCUGAGAGGAUGAUCAGCCACAAUGGGACUGAGACACGGCCCAUACACCUACGGGUGGCAGCAGUUGGGAAUAUUGCGCAAUGGACGACAGUCUGACGCAGCGACGCCGCGUGAAGGAUGAAGGUUUUCGGAUCGUAAACUUCUUUUAUAGGGGACGAUUGUGACGGUACCCUAUGAAUAAGGGCCUGCUAACUACGUG
Molecule: ribosomal RNA, 431 nt
Filed under: uncultured bacterium
Lineage: Bacteria
Description: bacterial SSU rRNA
Rfam family: Bacterial small subunit ribosomal RNA
Source: RNAcentral